RNAcentral lists this ribosomal RNA (206 nucleotides) under Mycoplasma wenyonii. RNAcentral describes it as "partial 16S ribosomal RNA". Lineage: Bacteria; Bacillati; Mycoplasmatota; Mollicutes; Mycoplasmatales; Mycoplasmataceae. The record is from RNAcentral.
UGGGAUUGAGAUAUGGCCCAUAUUCCUACGGGAAGCAGCAGUGAGGAAUUUUUCACAAUGGACGAAAGUCUGAUGGAGCAAUACCACGUGAACGAUGAAGGUCUUCUGAUUGUAAAGUUCUUUUAUUUAGGAAAAAAAGCGUGCUAGGAAAUGAGYGCGCCUUGAUGGUACUAAUUGAAUAAGUGACAGCUAACUAUGUGCCAGCA